RNAcentral lists this ribosomal RNA (276 nucleotides) under uncultured bacterium. RNAcentral describes it as "partial 16S ribosomal RNA". It matches the Rfam family "Bacterial small subunit ribosomal RNA", at positions 524 to 795 of the family's 1533-position model. The record is from RNAcentral.
UACGGGGGGAGCAAGCGUUGUUCGGAUUUACUGGGCGUAAAGGGCGCGUAGGCGGCACCGCAAGUCGACUGUGAAAUCUCCGGGCUUAACCCGGAAAGGUCAGCCGAUACUGCGGGGCUAGAGUGCAGAAGGGGCAACUGGAAUUCUCGGUGGUAGCGGUGAAAUGCGUAGAUAAUCGAGAGGAACACCUGCGGCGAAGGCGGGUUGCUGGGCUGACACUGACGCUGAGGCGCGAAAGCUAGGGGAGCGAACGGGAUUAGAUACCCGUAGUGAGUC